CGUAAGGCUCAGCCUGGCUUAAUGGAGCCGUGUCUGUGCUGUGCCUCUAAGCCUGCAUUUGGCAAGGGGGCUGCAGCUGCUCCUGCGCCCGGUGCGGGGAGGACGCAGCCGUGUUUGCUUAAGGUUUUUGGUUGGACUCAUCUGAAAUGGUGCUGUUCCCCAUCCUCCGAGUAAAACAAAUGCCUUGCUAUUUUCACCUGGGAUGAGGCUGCCUGUACGCCUUACUCCAGGCUGGCAGCAUCCUCUGCCGGCCCCAGAUGGCCUUCGCUGCACCAGCGCUGGCACGGUCUUCAGUUCCGGCCAUUGCACCUCAGCCUACCUGAAACACUGCUGCUUAAACGGGGGGAAAAGACGGGCGUCUGGCUGUGUCUCACAAACAUGGAAAUGUAAGCAAACAUCAUUUCCUUGAGGGCGGUAAUACCCUGUGCUCUCCAGCAAACCAGCUCUGAGCCCUGAAAACCUCAUGAAGUCUGGCUAUGAAAGAGAAUGAGACACUCGUCU
Molecule: long non-coding RNA, 501 nt
Organism: Dromaius novaehollandiae (emu)
Lineage: Eukaryota; Metazoa; Chordata; Aves; Casuariiformes; Dromaiidae
Exons: 2
Source: RefSeq, a predicted model, not a curated record